CAUACUUUACCCCCACCAAAGUAUCCGCCUGAGGACUACGAGCACAAACGCUUAAAACUCUAAGGACUUGGCGGUGCCUCAAACCCACCUAGAGGAGCCUGUUCUAUAAUCGAUAACCCACGAUGCACCCAACCGCCCCUUGCCGAGGCAGCCUACAUACCGCCGUCGUCAGCCCACCUCCCUUGAGAGUACAGUAGUGAGCACAAUAGUUACCCCACUAACAAGACAGGUCAAGGUAUAGCCCAUGAGGCGGAAGAAAUGGGCUACAUUUUCUAAAAUAGAAAACUUCACGGAAAGGGAUGUGAAAACCACCCCUAGAAGGCGGAUUUAGCAGUAAAGUAGGAUAAUAAAGCCUACUUUAAGUUGGCCCUAGNN
Molecule: ribosomal RNA, 375 nt
Filed under: Fregetta tropica (black-bellied storm-petrel)
Lineage: Eukaryota; Metazoa; Chordata; Aves; Procellariiformes
Description: 12S mitochondrial ribosomal RNA
Rfam family: Bacterial small subunit ribosomal RNA
Source: RNAcentral